UUCCGUAGGGUGAACCUGCGGAGGGAUCAUUAUCGAGUUUAUCCAACUCCCAACCCUAUGUGAACCUACCUUUAUGUUGCUUCGGCGGUCUCGCGCCUGGUUGCUCCCUUGGGGGCUCCCGGGACCACGCGUCCGCCGGAGACCAAAAACUCUUGAUUUUGCGAAAGCAGUAUUAUUCUGAGUGGCCGAAAGGCAAAAAACAAAUGAAUCAAAACUUUCAACAACGGAUCUCUUGGUUCUGGCAUCGAUGAAGAACGCAGCGAAAUGCGAUAAGUAAUGUGAAUUGCAGAAUUCAGUGAAUCAUCGAAUCUUUGAACGCACAUUGCGCCCGCCAGCAUUCUGGCGGGCAUGCCUGUUCGAGCGUCAUUUCAACCCUCGAGCUCGUCUUCAUUGACGAGAUCGGUGUUGGGACCCGGCGAGCGGGGACUCUUGUCCCCUGCCGGCCCCGAAAUUCAGUGGCGGCCCGUUGCGGCGACCUCUGCGUAGUAACUUAACCUCGCACCGGUAACAGCAUCGUGGCCACGCCGUAAAACCCCCGACUUUUUUAAGGUUGACCUCGAAUCAGGUAGGACUACCCGCUGAACUUAAGCAUAUCAAUAAGCGGAGG
RNAcentral lists this ribosomal RNA (607 nucleotides) under fungal endophyte sp. P1404D. RNAcentral's name for it is "eukaryotic LSU rRNA". The stretch from base 213 to 366 matches the Rfam family "5.8S ribosomal RNA". Lineage: Eukaryota; Fungi. The record is from RNAcentral.